AGGGAGAGGGAGUUCUCAUGUCGAGAAUCAGUUAGGAAAAAGCGAAGAUCGAGGGUUUAGCUUUGUAUAUUUUUUUUUUGGCUAAGUGGUAGCUAUAAGUCGCCCUAUGAAAAGACGGCUCUAUGAGUUGCUUUUCCAUAAGACGACUUUAUGAGUCGUCCUUCCAUACAGCGGCUCUUCUGUUGUUGACUCACUUUUCUAUAUGGCGUGGACUGUAGUGAGUUGGCAUAUAAAGUUGCUCUAUUACAG
Molecule: long non-coding RNA, 249 nt
Filed under: Elaeis guineensis (African oil palm)
Lineage: Eukaryota; Viridiplantae; Streptophyta; Magnoliopsida; Arecales; Arecaceae
Description: long non-coding RNA (EGUI_LNC029987)
Source: RNAcentral